This is a long non-coding RNA of Pongo pygmaeus (Bornean orangutan), 2076 nucleotides long. RefSeq lists it as uncharacterized. NCBI's taxonomy places the organism in Eukaryota, Metazoa, Chordata, Mammalia, Primates, Hominidae. The record is from RefSeq and is a predicted model, not a curated record. The transcript has 2 exons.
CAUUUUUUUUUCUUUUUUUGAGGCAGGGUCUCACUCUGUCUCCCAGGCUGGAGUGCAGUGGUGUGAUCACAGCUCACUGCAGCCUUGAACUGGGCUCAAGGGAUCCUCCUGCCUUAGCCUCCCAAGUAGCUGAGAUCAUAGGUGUACACCACCACACCCACCUAUUUUUUUAUUUUAAUUAAUUUUUUGUAGAGAUGGAUUAUUGCUAUGUUGCCUAGGUUGGUCUUAAACUCCUGGGCUCAAGUGAUCCUCCCUACUUGACCUCCCAAAAUAUGGGGAUUAUAGGUGUGACCCACUGCACCUGGCCCUCUCUAGGAUAUUUCAAGGGGAAAAAAGAAAAGCACAGAACAGCAUGUAUAUAUUAUGCUGCCAUUUAAAUAAAAAAACAAAGGAGGGCCAGGUAUGGUGGCUCAUGUCUGUAGUCCCAUCUACUCGGGAGGCUGAGGCAGGAGGAUUGCUUGAGGCCAGGAGUUUGCGACAAGCCUUGGUGACAUAGUAAGACCUUGUCCCUUAAGAAAAAAGGAAAGAAGGAAUAUAUACACACAUAUACAUAUAUAUGUGCUUUUUUUUGUUCUUGAUUUUUUUUUCACAUAAUUGCGUGUAUAAACUUUCUGAUGGAUUGAUUUUUCCUUUCUGUCUCGAUUAUCUAGCCUCUGAUGUGCUCAAGAGCUGGAUCUGCUGACUUAUCAAAAAAGUGACAUUUGGCCGGGCGCGGUGGCUCACACCUGAAUUCCCAGCACUUUGGGAGGCUGGGGUGUAAGGAUCAUUUGAGCCCAGGAGUUUGAGACCAGCUUAGGCAACAAAAUGAAGUCUCACUCUGUCGCCCAGGCUGGAGUGCAAUGGCACGAUCUAGGCUCACUGCAACCUCUGCCUCCUUGGUUCAAGGGAUUCUCCUGUCUCGGCCUCCUGAGCAGCUGGGAUUAUAGGCGUGCGCCACCUCGCCUGGCUAAUUUUUUUGUAUUUUUGUAGAGAUGGGGUUUCACCAUGUUGGCCAGGCUGGUCUUGAACUCCGGACCUCAAGUGACCCACCUGCCUCGGCCUCCCAAAGUGCUGGGAUUGCAGGCGUGAGCCACUGUGCCCGGCCUCACCUGAUGGUUUCUUAGCAAACUUCAGUAGAAUGUUUACAACGCGGCCCUGAUAAACUUGAGUGCUGGUAGGAGGUGCUACCUCGCUCAAUCUGUGAGCAACCAGCCCCGUGCCCUGGAUGCUUGGCAGGUGGAGAGAAAGACAGUGUUACGUGGGCAAGCCUCCAACUCACCAGUUGCAGGCAGAGUAUCUGGUCUCCGUCUGCUGCUGUAGCCCUGUGAGUCAGCCAGACGUGUGGUCCCCAAGCCAGCUUCCCACCUAGCACCCUUGUUCUGCUACAGCUCCCCCACCUGCCCUCCUGCAUUGCCUAGGAUCCCACGCCCCGCUUUCAAUCUGCUCUGGGACAUUUGUCUUCUUCUUUGCAGGGGACUAAGUAUAUGACUUAAUGAAUCCUAAAAGGAAAAAAAGAUGUCAGGAAAAAAAAGUGCACACAAGAAAUGUUGCAACAUCUCAUCCUUAGCAACUUUGUUUGGUUAGUACUGCAUAACUCACAGCAGAUUCCAAGGCACCUGCCUUGAACAUUGCUACAUGCUCUAGGCAUUAUCAGGAAUGCAGCCAGGGCGCCUGCAAAGUUGUCUCCAGUUUCUGGGUAGGAGGACCAUCAUCCGUAUUGUCUGUGGCUUUGUGUCUGAGUUGGGCUACUGAGCCUGUGACUUCAGACCCCUUGUCUGCCUGAUGGAUACAUUCGGUAUAAUACGUUACCACCACAAUUUCAUGAAUGUAACUAAUGAAGAUCUAGCCCUUCCAUGCCUCCUGCUGAACUAUGUCACCUGUGAUAAUAAAACCUCUACACAUAGCAUUUUAUACAAAGCAAGUCAAACAGCAAUGAUAGUGGCAAGUGAUGUAUUUGGCUUAAAGAAGCUUGUGUUACUGAAGUUAACGCAGAAGUCUGGCCUCCGUUCGUGGGAUUAUUAAAUAUAUAUCCUACGGGAUCAGAGUCAUCUAUUAGAAACAGUGAUAGCCCUGGGUAUAAAUAAACAUUUCUUUAGA